This 18-nucleotide small nuclear RNA is filed under the name Arabidopsis thaliana (thale cress). RNAcentral's name for it is "snRNA_07233". Lineage: Eukaryota; Viridiplantae; Streptophyta; Magnoliopsida; Brassicales; Brassicaceae. The record is from RNAcentral.
AUGUGAACGGCACUUGCA